AGUACGAAUAAGCGCGGUCAUAUCGAAUUGGCGUUGGUUCAUCGCGAUUUAGCGUCAAGAACGGCUUGUCUAUGGAGCAAAAACGCGUAUCGAUGUCGC
RNAcentral lists this small RNA (99 nucleotides) under Sinorhizobium meliloti 2011. Its description in RNAcentral is "putative ncRNA". The record is from RNAcentral. Lineage: Bacteria; Pseudomonadati; Pseudomonadota; Alphaproteobacteria; Hyphomicrobiales; Rhizobiaceae.